AGCGUUGCUCGGAAUUACUGGGCGUAAAGGGAGCGUAGGCGGAUAGUUUAGUCAGAGGUGAAAGCCCAGGGCUCAACCUUGGAAUUGCCUUUGAUACUGGCUAUCUUGAGUACGGAAGAGGUAUGUGGAACUCCGAGUGUAG
Molecule: ribosomal RNA, 142 nt
Filed under: uncultured Alphaproteobacteria bacterium
Lineage: Bacteria; Pseudomonadati; Pseudomonadota; Alphaproteobacteria
Description: partial 16S ribosomal RNA
Rfam family: Bacterial small subunit ribosomal RNA
Source: RNAcentral